RNAcentral lists this ribosomal RNA (491 nucleotides) under uncultured bacterium. Its description in RNAcentral is "partial 16S ribosomal RNA". It matches the Rfam family "Bacterial small subunit ribosomal RNA", at positions 29 to 507 of the family's 1533-position model. The record is from RNAcentral.
GUGAACGCUGGCGGUAGGCCUAACACAUGCAAGUCGAACGGCAGCACAGUAAGAGCUUGCUCUUACGGGUGGCGAGUGGCGGACGGGUGAGGAAUACAUCGGAAUCUACUUUUUCGUGGGGGAUAACGUAGGGAAACUUACGCUAAUACCGCAUACGACCUACGGGUGAAAGCAGGGGAUCUUCGGACCUUGCGCGAUUGAAUGAGCCGAUGUCGGAUUAGCUAGUUGGCGGGGUAAAGGCCCACCAAGGCGACGAUCCGUAGCUGGUCUGAGAGGAUGAUCAGCCACACUGGAACUGAGACACGGUCCAGACUCCUACGGGAGGCAGCAGUGGGGAAUAUUGGACAAUGGGCGCAAGCCUGAUCCAGCCAUACCGCGUGGGUGAAGAAGGCCUUCGGGUUGUAAAGUCCUUUUGUUGGGAAAGAAAAGCAGCAGGUUAAUACCCCGCUGUUCUGACGGUACCCAAAGAAUAAGCACCGGCUAACUUCGUG